GCCCUGGCAGUCAGAGGCGAUGAAGGACGUGCUAAUCUGCGAUAAGCGUCGGUAAGGUGAUAUGAACCGUUAUAACCGGCGAUUUCCGAAUGGGGAAACCCAGUGUGAUUCGUCACACUAUCAUUAACUGAAUCCAUAGGUUAAUGAGGCGAACCGGGGGAACUGAAACAUCUAAGUACCCCGAGGAAAAGAAAUCAACCGAGAUUCCCCCAGUAGCGGCGAGCGAACGGGGAGGAGCCCAGAGCCUGAAUCAGUGUGUGUGUUAGUGGAAGCGUCUGGAAAGGCGCGCGAUACAGGGUGACAGCCCCGUACACAAAAAUGCACAUGCUGUGAGCUCGAUGAGUAGGGCGGGACACGUGGUAUCCUGUCUGAAUAUGGGGGGACCAUCCUCCAAGGCUAAAUACUCCUGACUGACCGAUAGUGAACCAGUACCGUGAGGGAAAGGCGAAAAGAACCCCGGCGAGGGGAGUGAAAAAGAACCUGAAACCGUGUACGUACAAGCAGUGGGAGCACAGAGCAAUCUGUGUGACUGCGUACCUUUUGUAUAAUGGGUCAGCGACUUAUAUUCUGUAGCAAGGUUAACCGAAUAGGGGAGCCGAAGGGAAACCGAGUCUUAACUGGGCGUUAAGUUGCAGGGUAUAGACCCGAAACCCGGUGAUCUAGCCAUGGGCAGGUUGAAGGUUGGGUAACACUAACUGGAGGACCGAACCGACUAAUGUUGAAAAAUUAGCGGAUGACUUGUGGCUGGGGGUGAAAGGCCAAUCAAACCGGGAGAUAGCUGGUUCUCCCCGAAAGCUAUUUAGGUAGCGCCUCGUGAAUUCAUCUCCGGGGGUAGAGCACUGUUUCGGCAAGGGGGUCAUCCCGACUUACCAACCCGAUGCAAACUGCGAAUACCGGAGAAUGUUAUCACGGGAGACACACGGCGGGUGCUAACGUCCGUCGUGAAGAGGGAAACAACCCAGACCGCCAGCUAAGGUCCCAAAGUCAUGGUUAAGUGGGAAACGAUGUGGGAAGGCCCAGACAGCCAGGAUGUUGGCUUAGAAGCAGCCAUCAUUUAAAGAAAGCGUAAUAGCUCACUGGUCGAGUCGGCCUGCGCGGAAGAUGUAACGGGGCUAAACCAUGCACCGAAGCUGCGGCAGCGACACUAUGUGUUGUUGGGUAGGGGAGCGUUCUGUAAGCCUGUGAAGGUGUGCUGUGAGGCAUGCUGGAGGUAUCAGAAGUGCGAAUGCUGACAUAAGUAACGAUAAAGCGGGUGAAAAGCCCGCUCGCCGGAAGACCAAGGGUUCCUGUCCAACGUUAAUCGGGGCAGGGUGAGUCGACCCCUAAGGCGAGGCCGAAAGGCGUAGUCGAUGGGAAACAGGUUAAUAUUCCUGUACUUGGUGUUACUGCGAAGGGGGGACGGAGAAGGCUAUGUUGGCCGGGCGACGGUUGUCCCGGUUUAAGCGUGUAGGCUGGUUUUCCAGGCAAAUCCGGAAAAUCAAGGCUGAGGCGUGAUGACGAGGCACUACGGUGCUGAAGCAACAAAUGCCCUGCUUCCAGGAAAAGCCUCUAAGCAUCAGGUAACAUCAAAUCGUACCCCAAACCGACACAGGUGGUCAGGUAGAGAAUACCAAGGCGCUUGAGAGAACUCGGGUGAAGGAACUAGGCAAAAUGGUGCCGUAACUUCGGGAGAAGGCACGCUGAUAUGUAGGUGAAGCGACUUGCUCGUGGAGCUGAAAUCAGUCGAAGAUACCAGCUGGCUGCAACUGUUUAUUAAAAACACAGCACUGUGCAAACACGAAAGUGGACGUAUACGGUGUGACGCCUGCCCGGUGCCGGAAGGUUAAUUGAUGGGGUCAGCGCAAGCGAAGCUCUUGAUCGAAGCCCCGGUAAACGGCGGCCGUAACUAUAACGGUCCUAAGGUAGCGAAAUUCCUUGUCGGGUAAGUUCCGACCUGCACGAAUGGCGUAAUGAUGGCCAGGCUGUCUCCACCCGAGACUCAGUGAAAUUGAACUCGCUGUGAAGAUGCAGUGUACCCGCGGCAAGACGGAAAGACCCCGUGAACCUUUACUAUAGCUUGACACUGAACAUUGAGCCUUGAUGUGUAGGAUAGGUGGGAGGCUUUGAAGUGUGGACGCCAGUCUGCAUGGAGCCGACCUUGAAAUACCACCCUUUAAUGUUUGAUGUUCUAACGUUGACCCGUAAUCCGGGUUGCGGACAGUGUCUGGUGGGUAGUUUGACUGGGGCGGUCUCCUCCUAAAGAGUAACGGAGGAGCACGAAGGUUGGCUAAUCCUGGUCGGACAUCAGGAGGUUAGUGCAAUGGCAUAAGCCAGCUUGACUGCGAGCGUGACGGCGCGAGCAGGUGCGAAAGCAGGUCAUAGUGAUCCGGUGGUUCUGAAUGGAAGGGCCAUCGCUCAACGGAUAAAAGGUACUCCGGGGAUAACAGGCUGAUACCGCCCAAGAGUUCAUAUCGACGGCGGUGUUUGGCACCUCGAUGUCGGCUCAUCACAUCCUGGGGCUGAAGUAGGUCCCAAGGGUAUGGCUGUUCGCCAUUUAAAGUGGUACGCGAGCUGGGUUUAGAACGUCGUGAGACAGUUCGGUCCCUAUCUGCCGUGGGCGCUGGAGAACUGAGGGGGGCUGCUCCUAGUACGAGAGGACCGGAGUGGACGCAUCACUGGUGUUCGGGUUGUCAUGCCAAUGGCACUGCCCGGUAGCUAAAUGCGGAAGAGAUAAGUGCUGAAAGCAUCUAAGCACGAAACUUGCCCCGAGAUGAGUUCUCCCUGACUCCUUGAGAGUCCUGAAGGAACGUUGAAGACGACGACGUUGAUAGGCCGGGUGUGUAAGCGCAGCGAUGCGUUGAGCUAACCGGUACUAAUGAACCGUGAGGCUUAACCUU
This 2876-nucleotide ribosomal RNA is filed under the name Escherichia coli. Its description in RNAcentral is "partial 23S ribosomal RNA". It matches the Rfam family "Bacterial large subunit ribosomal RNA". Lineage: Bacteria; Pseudomonadati; Pseudomonadota; Gammaproteobacteria; Enterobacterales; Enterobacteriaceae. The record is from RNAcentral.